This 557-nucleotide long non-coding RNA is filed under the name Gouania willdenowi (blunt-snouted clingfish). RNAcentral's name for it is "lncRNA (ENSGWIG00000000092.1)". Lineage: Eukaryota; Metazoa; Chordata; Actinopteri; Blenniiformes; Gobiesocidae. The record is from RNAcentral.
GCUGAAGGAAUACACUUCUCCUGGCUGGCAGCUGAGUGGACCUCAAAAUGAGGCGACAGAGCAAGAGAAAGACACCAGGAGUCAUGGAUGUCAUGAUGAUGCUAGAUUCACAGUUACUGGCCUAGAACUGUGUCUUGCUGAUGUAGAAGGAGAUUUGAUGACUCUCUCCAUCAUGUUGAAUUCUCCUCACAGUAUGGAUUUUAGGCUGCAACUGAACUCCUGGAUUGAAAUAUUAAGAGACCUUGAAAACCUGCUCAAUAUGUUUGAAAAAUACCAGCAAAUGUGGGCUUUCCUGAGCAAAGUGGUUGGUGAAAAAUUGUCAUGUAAUCAGAGAAAAGAUUGGGUAUGUCUAAAAUAUUACCAAAGAUUUGUUCAUCUUGUCACACAACAAUUUGUAAAUUAACAUUUUGAUUGUGUUUUUUUUUUUAUUUCCUUUUUCUAGCAGCUGCGUUUUUCUUCUAUUGAUGAGAGCUUUCAGAAAAUGAUGAACUCCAUAUGUGCCGACCCACACGUGUUAAACUUUGUUUCUAUAAAGAGAAGUGACACAUUCUUUGGUG